Molecule: non-coding RNA, 57 nt
Organism: Biomphalaria glabrata
Lineage: Eukaryota; Metazoa; Mollusca; Gastropoda; Planorbidae
Source: Rfam
UGGCUGAGCGGUAAAGCGCUUGGCUUUCAAACCAGGGGUCCCUGGUUCUAAUCCUGG